AAAUUGAAGAGUUUGAUCAUGGCUCAGAUUGAACGCUGGCGGCAGGCCUAACACAUGCAAGUCGAACGGUAACAGGAAGCAGCUUGCUGCUUUGCUGACGAGUGGCGGACGGGUGAGUAAUGUCUGGGAAACUGCCCGAUGGAGGGGGAUAACUACUGGAAACGGUGGCU
Molecule: ribosomal RNA, 170 nt
Filed under: Salmonella enterica
Lineage: Bacteria; Pseudomonadati; Pseudomonadota; Gammaproteobacteria; Enterobacterales; Enterobacteriaceae
Also listed under: 1 other name
Description: partial 16S ribosomal RNA
Rfam family: Bacterial small subunit ribosomal RNA
Source: RNAcentral